This 884-nucleotide ribosomal RNA is filed under the name uncultured Alphaproteobacteria bacterium. RNAcentral's name for it is "bacterial SSU rRNA". It matches the Rfam family "Bacterial small subunit ribosomal RNA", at positions 34 to 966 of the family's 1533-position model. The record is from RNAcentral. Lineage: Bacteria; Pseudomonadati; Pseudomonadota; Alphaproteobacteria.
CGCUGGCGGCACGCCUAACACAUGCAAGUCGAACGAAGUAGCAAUACUUAGUGGCAGACGGGUGAGUAACAUGUAGGUAUCUGCCCUUUGGCCUGGAAUAACACGAGGAAACUUGUGCUAAUACCGGAUAAGUCUUUACGGAGAAAGCUUUAUGCACCAUUGGAUGAGCCUGCACUUGAUUAGUUUGUUGGUGGGGUAAUGGCCUACCAAGACUGUGAUCAAUAGCUGAUUUGAGAGGAUGAUCAGCCACAUUGGGACUGAGACACGGCCCAAACUCCUACGGGAGGCAGCAGUGGGGAAUCUUGCACAAUGGAGGAAACUCUGAUGCAGCGAUGCCGCGUGAGUGAAGAAGGCCUUUGGGUUGUAAAGCUCUUUCGUCGGGGAAGAAAAUGACUGUACCCGAAUAAGAAGGUCCGGCUAACUUCGUGCCAGCAGCCGCGGUAAUACGAAGGGACCUAGCGUAGUUCGGAAUUACUGGGCUUAAAGAGUUCGUAGGUGGUUGAAAAAGUUAGUGGUGAAAUCCCAGAGCUUAACUCUGGAACUGCCAUUAAAACUUUUCAGCUAGAGUAUGAUAGAGGAAAGCAGAAUUUCUAGUGUAGAGGUGAAAUUCGUAGAUAUUAGAAAGAAUACCAAUUGCGAAGGCAGCUUUCUGGAUCAUUACUGACACUGAGGAACGAAAGCAUGGGUAGCGAAGAGGAUUAGAUACCCUCGUAGUCCAUGCCGUAAACGAUGUGUGUUAGACGUUGGAAAUUUAUUUUCAGUGUCGCAGGGAAACCGAUAAACACACCGCCUGGGGAGUACGACCGCAAGGUUAAAACUCAAAUGAAUUGACGGGGACCCGCACAAGUAGUGGAGCAUGUGGUUUAAUUCGAAGAUACGCGCAG